Molecule: long non-coding RNA, 917 nt
Organism: Triticum aestivum (bread wheat)
Lineage: Eukaryota; Viridiplantae; Streptophyta; Magnoliopsida; Poales; Poaceae
Exons: 4
Source: RefSeq, a predicted model, not a curated record
CAACCCACCCCCGUUUAUCUAAAAAAAUAAUAUUCCACCGAGGCCCUGAUCCAGACCCCCUCCACCGCGGCCUCCUUCCACCUCCUCUCAUCUCCAAACGCCAUGGCCGGCUUCCCGGGGGCCGGCGGCUACGACACCAUGGACGGAUCCAGCGACGACGAGGACGAGGAGGCCAUGAAGAGCCUCUACGCCGGCGCGCCCCCCGCCCCCGCGGAGGAGGAGGAGGAGGUCGACGAGGGGUACGCUGUUGCGGCGAUGUAGGCAGGGGAGGAGAGGGGGAUCGGGAAGGAGGGGCUGCGGAAGAGACUGGUGCGGGAGGGGGAGGGGUCGCAGCUCCCCGGCACCGGCGACGAGGUCGAAGUGCACUACACGGGGACGCUGGCGGACGGCACCAAGUUCGACUCCAGAGAAGCCCCGUUCCGGUCACCCUCGGCCGAGGUUCAUUAAUGACAGCCAAGGGUUCAUGCUCGGAAACGACUACAUCUUGCUCCAUGUUGUCGGCUCAGCUAAAGUCCUUAAUCAUGAGGAGAUGGGACACGUCGAUUGUUAGAGUACACUUGACAGAGGUGAUCGACGCUGACUAGCACGGCCCGGUGGCACUGUGCUCUUCAACCACUCGGGGACGGACUUCGCCGUGAAGCCUGGUUGCCACGUCGCAUAGAUGAUCGUCCAGGUGAUUUCGACACUGGAGGUCGCCGAGGUGGAGGACCUUGACGCCACCGUCCGGGGGAGAGAGGAUUCGAGUCCACCAACGUCUGAACUCCGAGCGUAGGUAGAUACAUCUAGAGAACUGGUCUAUUUAGGUUGGUGGUAGACCACUAGGGAAGGUACCCACCUUACGAUGAUGGUUGUGUGUGUCUGAUGUUAAAUGAAAUCUUGAGAUGGUUCUGUGAUAUGUUAAAUGGAAUAUUGAGAUG